Non-coding RNA from Doryrhamphus excisus (bluestripe pipefish), 931 nucleotides. The record is from RefSeq and is a predicted model, not a curated record. Lineage: Eukaryota; Metazoa; Chordata; Actinopteri; Syngnathiformes; Syngnathidae.
UUUGGGCGCGUAGAUGAAGGGAAGGCGGAAGUAGAACAUUAAAUAGAUGAGCAGUGGACCGACACACUCGGCCAGGAACACCUGAAAUGGACACGAACGACGUCACAUAGGAGCCAGCUCAGCAGUGGAAGGACAGACUGAAUGGCUCGGUGGGCAAAGGGUGAACAAAGUGAGAGGCAAAUGAGAGGCUGGAGAGGGAUAAACACCAGCAGGAGAAAUGGGGGCAUGAGAUUAGAUGUCCCGGCGUUAGAGGACAGCCUCUGUAGGAGCGUGCCUGAGCGCCAAGAGGGUGAGCGAAAAAAUGCCUGGAAGAUGAGCCGGUGUGGAAGAACACGACACUGGGAGCCUCACCUGAAUAGCUCGGACCGGAGCCCCCGUCAUGCUAGCAAACACACACGUUGAAGACGAAACCGGAGAGCCGCAAGACAUAAUCCACAGAGCGCCAUUUGCAAGGCUAAAUAUAAGCCGGCUGAUUUGCUCUUCGCACUGCAGCUCGCUUGGUAACCUUGGGACGGCGCUUGCGGAACACAAUACCAAUGUGCGGUCUUUGGACGCCGGUCAACUACUGGUUCUGGACAAGCGAUUGGAGACUCAACUGCUCGGCUUCUGGCUUUGGCAGCUCAAGAAAGGCCCGAUUAAAAACCCGGUGGGUGGGAUGAAAGACCUCCACAUGCCAACGCACAUAACCCCCUCUCCUUACUUCCUCCCAUGACCUCGGACCACCUGUGUGCCGGGUAUUCAUUCCUCCUUCUGACCUCCAUAGAAAAUAUUGGACGGAAAAGACAUUCCAUAAUCUUCACAGUACUACCUUUUUAGUCUAUUUUUUUUUUAGUUUUUUACUCCAAUGCUACUUAUACUUUCUCUCUUGUGGAAGGCAACAUGUCACGUAUAUACAAUUGCAAAAUAGUGUCUAAAUAAACAGAUGUCAUAA